AAUCGGCAAGGAUGAUGAUUCAAUUAGAUGUGUGAAUGGAGAUUUCUCCAUAUUGAACACAACCUUUUGAGGCAUAUUUAAUUGUCUGACUUCCAUGUU
This 99-nucleotide small nucleolar RNA is filed under the name Salix viminalis (osier). RNAcentral's name for it is "Small nucleolar RNA Z266". It matches the Rfam family "Small nucleolar RNA Z266". From Rfam's summary of the family: Z266 is a member of the C/D class of snoRNA which contain the C (UGAUGA) and D (CUGA) box motifs. Most of the members of the box C/D family function in directing site-specific 2'-O-methylation of substrate RNAs. The record is from Rfam by way of RNAcentral. Lineage: Eukaryota; Viridiplantae; Streptophyta; Magnoliopsida; Malpighiales; Salicaceae.